Long non-coding RNA from Triticum aestivum (bread wheat), 1627 nucleotides. RefSeq lists it as uncharacterized. The record is from RefSeq and is a predicted model, not a curated record. The transcript has 8 exons. NCBI's taxonomy places the organism in Eukaryota, Viridiplantae, Streptophyta, Magnoliopsida, Poales, Poaceae.
AGUGACUGUGUUUAGGGUGUGGUGGACAAGGACGCCUCUGCCACAGCACCUGCAUCUUCAUCUCUGCCAUGUAUACCGAAAUCAAGGUCUUUUAUCUAAUUGGUUGGAUAACUACUUUUCAGGAUUCUUGCCGGAGGAGACGAACUUUUAUGGAUUCUUGCUGGAGGAGAUGAACUUUUAUGCUGUGUUUUUGCCCCUGUAUGUGUCGCUUCAGAUCAGGCUGAUGCUGUUGUUAUUAUAGAGGAGCUGUUGAAGGCCAAGGUUUUCUUUGUGAGAAUGCCAUAGUUACAAGAAAAGAUUGCCUGAAAGGUCUUUAUGGUUUAUUCUGCAAGGUUAGAGGCCUGCUGAGGCUAGCGUGAGGUCUGCUAUGGCAUCGAUGAUCUGGGUGUCAUGACUGUGAAGCCUGCUCACGCCUCUCCGCUCAUAAACCGUGUGACAGAGUAAAUACUCUGGUCCACAACAAUUAGACCUUCCUCCCUCUCAGCUAUGGUGCCACAGAGUGCCCAGGCAGCAGGAAGCACACAUAAAACCAUCGAUGCUCCUUUCCGUAGGAGAAAUAAGUGAACGGAUAAUCUUUUCAUCUUUGUAUAAAUUCAGAUGUGAUUAGCCAGGUCCAGAAGAUUUGGUCUACUUCUCACUAAAUCCCAUCUGUUCUUCAGAAAAUACUUUUUCUUUGAGUUCUGAUGCGAUUAGCCUUCAUGAUGCAUGGAUGCAAAUUUGGACAGUUGGAUUCUUGAUGUGCAGAUAAAUACAUUGAGAAGAUGGAACUAGAAUUAAACUUCCGUCCAACUGCAGGUUAGUAUAUGCCUUAUAUGUUCUAUGGAAUUCCGCUUUCUCAUUAGAACAGCCAGAAGUGUAAAAUUACUGAAGUUUGAAUGUUAAUCCAGCUUAAUACUUGGGGCCUCUGAUAUAGUGAUAUAUGCAUCAAAAUCAUAGAUUUUUAUUAUUGCAAAUUGUUGGUGACUACUGAUCAUCCUUAUUAUUUUUUAUUCAUACGGUUCACGGGGCAAUGAGUAUGAGAUCUGUUCGUGGGUGUCAUGUCAAGGUUAGAGUGGUUCUGCAACUAUUUUCAUCUGAAAAGAUAUACCUUGCAGCAUCCUGUAUGAUACGUAUAUGCUUGCAGAGGCGUCCAAGCUGUCGAGGUGAGCAGUGGUGGACAACUAUAUAGUGUGUCUUCUGCCUCGACGAUGCCUUCGUGCUUUCCCAUGUCGCCUCACCAGCCACCACCAACAGCAAUGUAGGGAUCUAUGGCGGGCAAGACCAAAGUGCUGCAGCCGCACGAGGGGGGCCCAAGGCCAAGCCUACACUAGCAGCGGCGAUGACGGAGGCGGAGGCGAAGGAGCUCCCCAAGGCCAUCACGUGGCAGCUGGUCCAGGACAAGCUCGCCUGGGUUGCCGUGGCCGGCUCCGGCGAAGGAGGAGGGUGGAGGUGUGGUGGACAAGGACGCCAUGGCCGCCUUCGGCACAGUGCCAACAUCUUCAUCCACUGCCUCUCUGCCACUUCAGAAUAAUAGUUGACGUUUUCACCAUAAAUCUGCGUACUGCAGCAUUUUUAUAGAUACUCUAUGUAAAUAAAAUCUUUUUUUCUUUAAGGGUUCAUAUAUAACUCUGUUACAACAUUGAACUAA